AGGGCAAGUCUGGUGCCUGCAGCCGCGGUAAUUCCAGCUCCAAUAGCGUAUAUUAAAGUUGUUGCAGUUAAAAAGCUCGUAGUUGAAUUUCGGGGUUCUACCGUUGGUCGGGCUUUGUCUGUACUGGCGUGUAGAAUUUCUACCUUCUGGGGAACCAUUAUGUUAUUAAUUUAGCGUAGUGGGAAACCAGGACCUUUACCUUGAAAAAAUUAGAGUGUUCAAAGCAGGCUUAUGUCUGAAUACAUUAGCAUGGAAUAAUAGAAUAGGACGGUGGUCCUGUUUUGUUGGUUUCUGAAUCACCGUAAUGAUUAAUAGGGAUAGUUGGGGGCAUUAGUAUUCAAUUGUCAGAGGUGAAAUUCUUGGAUUUAUUGAAGACUAACUUCUGCGAAAGCAUUUGCCAAGGAUGUUUUCAUUAAUCAAGAACGAAAGUUAGGGGAUCGAAGACGAUCAGAUACCGUCGUAGUCUUAACCAUAAACUAUGCCGACUAGGGAUCGGACGAUGUUAAUUUUUCUUGACUCGUUCGGCGCCUUACGGGAA
Molecule: ribosomal RNA, 538 nt
Filed under: uncultured Glomeromycotina
Lineage: Eukaryota; Fungi; Glomeromycota
Description: SSU rRNA
Rfam family: Eukaryotic small subunit ribosomal RNA
Source: RNAcentral